GGAGAAUUUGGAAGACUGAAACGUUUCGAUGUUUUGCUUGGUGUUUUUUGCGUGAUGAAGCAGGUAAGUUCGGGACGAGUUGGACGGUGUAGAAGGACGUUUGGUCGAGUUCCCGCGCGACACAAACGAGAUCUUCGUCUCGUUUUCUUUCC
Molecule: transfer RNA, 152 nt
Filed under: Chloropicon primus
Lineage: Eukaryota; Viridiplantae; Chlorophyta; Chloropicophyceae; Chloropicales; Chloropicaceae
Description: tRNA-Ser
Source: RNAcentral